Molecule: ribosomal RNA, 275 nt
Filed under: uncultured bacterium
Lineage: Bacteria
Description: partial 16S ribosomal RNA
Rfam family: Bacterial small subunit ribosomal RNA
Source: RNAcentral
CCUACGGGUGGCUGCAGUGGGGAAUCUUGCGCAAUGGGCGAAAGCCUGACGCAGCGACGCCGCGUGAGCGAUGAAGGCCUUCGGGUUGUAAAGCUCUGUGGGGAGAGAAGAAUAAGGUCCGGCCAAUACCCGGACCGAUGACGGUAUCUCCUUAGCAAGCACCGGCUAACUCUGUGCCAGCAGCCGCGGUAAUACAGAGGGUGCAAACGUUGUUCGGAUUUACUGGGCGUAAAGCGCGUGUAGGCGGCUUGGUAAGUCGGGUGUGAAAGCCCACG